GAUGAACGCUAGCGGCAGGCCUAAUACAUGCAAGUCGGACGGGAUCGGGGAGCUUGCUCCCCGUGAGAGUGGCGCACGGGUGCGUAACACGUAUGUAACCUACCUUUAUCAGGGGGAUAGCCUCUCGAAAGAGAGAUUAACACCGCAUAACAUCACAUGAUAGCAUUAUCGAGUGAUCAAAUAUUCAUAGGAUAAAGAUGGGCAUGCGGGACAUUAGCUAGUUGGCGGGGUAACGGCCCAACAAGGCGACGAUGUCUAGGGGAUCUGAGAGGAUGACCCCCCACACUGGUACUGAGACACGGACCAGACUCCUACGGGAGGCAGCAGUAAGGAAUAUUGGUCAAUGGACGCAAUUCUGAACCAGCCAUGCCGCGUGCAGGAGGACGGCCCUACGGGUUGUAAACUGCUUUUGUACCGGAAUAAACCCUUUUACGUGUAAGAGGCUGAAUGUACGGUAAGAAUAAGGAUCGGCUAACUCCGUGCCAGCCGCCGCCGUAA
Molecule: ribosomal RNA, 498 nt
Filed under: uncultured bacterium
Lineage: Bacteria
Description: partial 16S ribosomal RNA
Rfam family: Bacterial small subunit ribosomal RNA
Source: RNAcentral